This is a long non-coding RNA of Homo sapiens (human), 1654 nucleotides long. RefSeq lists it as uncharacterized. The record is from RefSeq and is a predicted model, not a curated record. Lineage: Eukaryota; Metazoa; Chordata; Mammalia; Primates; Hominidae. The transcript has 2 exons.
UCUUCACAGGAAUGUAGGCGAUUAGCCACGGAGCCCUUCUCUGUCUAGCAUCAGGCAUCAGACGCCCAACUAUACAGAGGCCAUUUGAAUGGAACUGCAGAAUAAUCUUCAGAAGAAAAAGCAAGCUCACAUGAGUGGCAGCAGCCCAUUGUGCUGAGUUAAAGACGCUGGAGAGAGUCUGGUUGGCGGUGGGGAGGUGUGGUGUUGAUGACAAUGAUGGGGCCGUGGCUGGAGAGGUUAAUGUCAGUCUCACAGACCCUGUGUAAUUAGUAUUCCUUAUUACAUCCUAAUUAAAGACCCUUAACAUCUUAAAAUUUUAAGUAUUUUUGUUUUGUUAGAAGCAGAAGACAUUUAAAUCCUUUAAACCCAAACACUAUUGGGAACUCCAAUAUAUAAAACCAAUAAUAUCCAAAAUUUAUAUAGCAUUUUCUGUGUAUGAGGUUUUAUUUAUACUAAUGUAUUUAAUCUCCAUAACCCUAUAAAAAGUAUUAUUGUCAUCUCUACUUACAGGUGUGGAAAUUGAGUAACAGAAAAAUUAACUUGCCAAGAUAACACAGCUAGUAAAUAGUAGAGCUGUGAUUUGAAGCCAGGCAGUGAACUUCAGAAAUCCUUUCUGUUGAUGUGGGGAGUGGAGGACUCCAGACCCUGCCCAUUUGGCCUUGCCUCGUCUCUUUUUACUCUAGAAAAUGCUGUGGCUCUAUCAAAUACAGCUCAAAAAGCUACUCAUCCAGUUCAACUCUCUCCUUUGAAAGAUGAAGAUAUUGAGACCCAGAGAGGUGGAUACCCUGAGGUGGAGAAGAGACUGAAUAUGCCCACUGCAUCCAAAGCAAGGCUGGAGCUGACUUGAGCUUACUUGGCUUCAUAAAGCUUGAACACCAUAGAUGCUUUUAUAUGUCUUUCCUGUUCGAUUACUCUGGAUAGAGUGUGCUACUCCUAACACAAAGCAAAACCAAACCAAAAAACAAACCUCUCUUUUUCAUUUCCUUAAAGAAAAAAGAAAUUUAAUUUGGAUUCAGAUAAUACCCUUAUAACUUCUAAGGCAGUCAAGCAAGGAGGGGAACAGAUAAUUAGGAGAUGAUGGGAGCCAGCACAAAGCCAAAUGGAAGAAAACAGGCACACAGUAAGGCGGCAAAAGCCACCACCUAAUCCAUUAACAGCCUGCACUAUAAUUACGCUUGGCUCUGGCAUUAAACUGGUGAAAGCACAAAGGAGACACUAUUAAAGUCUUAAUUCCCACAAAAGGAAGCUCAUCCUGUGUAACAGCAAGUACUGUGCACCAAAGCGGCACCUAAAUGAAUAUUAUGGCAAAUUCUAAUUUAGCACUUAGUAGGAGCAUUCCACAAAAUUGCAAAAAUAAAGAGGAAGAAAGCUGAACGUGGUAAUUCAUGCCUGUAGUCCCAGCUACUCAGGAGGCUGAGGCAGGAGGAUUGCCUGAGCCCAAGAGUUUGAGGCUAGCCUGGACAACAUAGCAAGACUUUCAUCUCUACACAAAAUUAUUAGCUGGAUGUGGUGGCAUGUACCUGUAGUACCAGCUGGUCGAGAGGCUGAGACAAGAAGAUUGCUUGAGCCCAGGAGUUCAAAGUCAGCCUGGGCAACAUAGCGAGACCCUGUUUCUCAAAAAUAAUUAGAAAAAUAAAUAAAGGAGAAGAAAAGA